GAAAUAUGGUAUCAAAAUUAAGCUUCUAACUUAAAUUUUAAGCGAUUAAAUUUCGUUUAUAUUUCU
Molecule: transfer RNA, 66 nt
Filed under: Spilopyra sumptuosa
Lineage: Eukaryota; Metazoa; Arthropoda; Insecta; Coleoptera; Chrysomelidae
Description: tRNA-Ser
Source: RNAcentral